GGAAGGGUGCCGGAGUGGUCGAACGGGGCGCUCUCGAAAAGCGUUGUGCGAGCAAUCGCACCGGGGGUUCGAAUCCCUCCCCUUCCGCCA
This 90-nucleotide transfer RNA is filed under the name Pedosphaera sp. RNAcentral's name for it is "tRNA-Ser". It matches the Rfam family "tRNA". From Rfam's summary of the family: Transfer RNA (tRNA) molecules are approximately 80 nucleotides in length. Their secondary structure includes four short double-helical elements and three loops (D, anti-codon, and T loops). Further hydrogen bonds mediate the characteristic L-shaped molecular structure. tRNAs have two regions of fundamental functional importance: the anti-codon, which is responsible for specific mRNA codon recognition, and the 3' end, to which the tRNAs corresponding amino acid is attached (by aminoacyl-tRNA synthetases). tRNAs cope with the degeneracy of the genetic code in two manners: having more than one tRNA (with a specific anti-codon) for a particular amino acid; and 'wobble' base-pairing, i.e. permitting non-standard base-pairing at the 3rd anti-codon position. The record is from RNAcentral. Lineage: Bacteria; Pseudomonadati; Verrucomicrobiota; Pedosphaerae; Pedosphaerales; Pedosphaeraceae. RNAcentral also lists the same sequence under 3 other names.